AUGGGGAGAAAACAAAAAGGACGGAGUUUAUUUUUUUGAAUAUUUCUGAUAAAUUGCCGCUGACCGAUGGGAGGAGGCACUAUAUAUU
Molecule: non-coding RNA, 88 nt
Submitted as: unclassified sequences
Source: Rfam